Molecule: ribosomal RNA, 305 nt
Filed under: uncultured bacterium
Lineage: Bacteria
Description: bacterial SSU rRNA
Rfam family: Bacterial small subunit ribosomal RNA
Source: RNAcentral
CCUACGGGACGCAGCAGUGGGGAAUAUUGCACAAUGGGGGGAACCCUGAUGCAGCGACGCCGCGUGGGUGAAGGAGUAUUUCGGUAUGUAAAGCCCUAUCAGCAGGGAAGAAAAUGACGGUACCUGACUAAGAAGCCCCGGCUAAAUACGUGCCAGCAGCCGCGGUAAUACGUAUGGGGCAAGCGUUAUCCGGAUUUACUGGGUGUAAAGGGAGCGUAGGCGGCCUGGCAAGCCUGAUGUGAAAUACCGGGGCCCAACCCCGGGGCUGCAUUGGGAACUGCCAGGCUGGAGUGCCGGAGAGGCAG